Molecule: ribosomal RNA, 253 nt
Filed under: uncultured bacterium
Lineage: Bacteria
Description: partial 16S ribosomal RNA
Rfam family: Bacterial small subunit ribosomal RNA
Source: RNAcentral
UACAGAGGGGGCAAGCGUUGUUCGGAAUUACUGGGCGUAAAGGGCGCGUAGGUGGCCUUCUAAGUUGAACGUGAAAUCCCUGGGCUCAACCCAGGAACUGCGUCCAAGACUGGGAGGCUUGAAUCCGGGAGAGGGAUGCGGAAUUCCAGGUGUAGCGGUGAAAUGCGUAGAUAUCUGGAGGAACACCGGUGGCGAAGGCGGCAUCCUGGACCGGUAUUGACACUGAGGAGCGAAAGCCAGGGGAGCAAACGGG